Molecule: unclassified non-coding RNA, 299 nt
Filed under: uncultured Sordariales
Lineage: Eukaryota; Fungi; Ascomycota; Sordariomycetes; Sordariales
Description: sequence contains ITS1
Rfam family: 5.8S ribosomal RNA (bases 1-105)
Source: RNAcentral
GAAAUGCGAUAAGUAAUGUGAAUUGCAGAAUUCAGUGAAUCAUCGAAUCUUUGAACGCACAUUGCGCCCGCCAGUAUUCUGGCGGGCAUGCCUGUUCGAGCGUCAUUUCAACCAUCAAGCCCCCGGGCUUGCGUUGGGGCCCUGCGGCUGCCGCAGACCCCUAAAACCAGUGGCGGGCUCGCUGUCACACCGAGCGCAGUAGCAAUAUCUCGCUCUGGGCGUGGCGCGGGUGCUUGCCGUAAAACACACCACUUAACAAGGUUGACCUCGGAUCAGGUAGGAAUACCCGCUGAACUUAA